This 253-nucleotide ribosomal RNA is filed under the name uncultured bacterium. Its description in RNAcentral is "partial 16S ribosomal RNA". It matches the Rfam family "Bacterial small subunit ribosomal RNA", at positions 524 to 776 of the family's 1533-position model. The record is from RNAcentral.
GACGUAGGUGGCGAACGUUAUCCGGAAUUAUUGGGCGUAAAGGGUGCGUAGGUGGCCUAAAAAGUUUGAUGUGAAAGCUCAGGGCUUAACCCUGAAAUGGCAUUGAAUACUGUUGGGCUGGAGGUUUGGAGGGGGGACUGGAAUUCUUGGUGUAGCAGUGAAAUGCGUAGAUAUCAAGAGGAACACCAGUGGCGAAGGCGAGUCCCUGGACAACACCUGACACUGAGGCACGAAAGCCGGGGGAGCAAACAGG